UAAUACAGAGGUCUCAAGCGUUGUUCGGAUUCAUUGGGCGUAAAGGGUGCGUAGGUGGUGAUGCAAGUCUGGUGUGAAAUCUCGGAGCUCAACUCCAAAUUGCACCGGAUACUGCGUGACUCAGGACUGUAGAGGAGAUCGGAAUUCACGGUGUAGCAGUGAAAUGCGUAAUAUCGUGAGGAAGACCAGUUGCGAAGGCGGAUCUCUGGGCAGUUCCUGACACUGAGGCACGAAGGCCAGGGGAGCAAACGGGAUUAGAUACCCCGGUAGUCCUGGCAGUAAACGGUGCACGUUUGGUGUGGGCGGGUUCAGACCCCGUCCGUGCCGGAGCUAACGCGUUAAACGUGCCGCCUGGGAAGUACGGUCGCAAGAU
This 373-nucleotide ribosomal RNA is filed under the name uncultured bacterium. Its description in RNAcentral is "bacterial SSU rRNA". It matches the Rfam family "Bacterial small subunit ribosomal RNA", at positions 521 to 894 of the family's 1533-position model. The record is from RNAcentral.